RNAcentral lists this ribosomal RNA (254 nucleotides) under uncultured bacterium. RNAcentral describes it as "partial 16S ribosomal RNA". It matches the Rfam family "Bacterial small subunit ribosomal RNA", at positions 524 to 776 of the family's 1533-position model. The record is from RNAcentral.
UACGUAGGCAGCGAGCGUUGUUCGGAGUUACUGGGCGUAAAGGGUGUGUAGGCGGUUGUUUAAGUUUGGUGUGAAAUCUCCCGGCUCAACUGGGAGGGUGCGCCGAAUACUGAAUGACUUCGAGUGCGGGAGGGGAGAGUGGAAUUCCUGGUGUAGCGGUGAAAUGCGUAGAUAUCAGGAGGAACACCGGUGGUGUAGACGGCUCUCUGGACCGUAACUGACGCUGAGACACGAAAGCGUGGGUAGCAAACAGG